Molecule: ribosomal RNA, 253 nt
Filed under: uncultured bacterium
Lineage: Bacteria
Description: partial 16S ribosomal RNA
Rfam family: Bacterial small subunit ribosomal RNA
Source: RNAcentral
UACGUAGGUGGCAAGCGUUGUCCGGAUUUAUUGGGUUUAAAGGGUGCGUAGGCGGCCCUGUAAGUCAGUGGUGAAAUAUCUCAGCUUAACUGAGAGGGUGCCAUUGAUACUGCGGGGCUUGAGUACAGAUGAGGUAGGCGGAAUUGACGGUGUAGCGGUGAAAUGCAUAGAUAUCGUCAAGAACUCCGAUGGCGAAGGCAGCUUACUAAGCUGUAACUGACGCUGAGGCACGAAAGUGUGGGGAUCAAACAGG